AGAGUUUGAUCAUGGCUCAGGACGAACGUNGGCGGCGUGCUUAACACAUGCAAGUCAAGGGGAAAGGUUGUCUUCGGACGGCCGAGUAUACUGGCGAACGGGUGAGUAACGCGUAGGUAACUUGCCUAUCAGUCUGGGAUAACACUGCUAACGCGGUGCUAAUACCGGGUAUACUGCAUAGAUCGCAUGUUUUUUGCAGGAAAGCGGGCCUCUGGAACAAGCUCGUGCUGAUAGAUAGACCUGCGUCCCAUUAGUUAGUUGGUAGGGUAACGGCCUACCAAGGCAGCGAUGGGUAGCCGGCCUGAGAGGGUGACCGGCCACACUGGGACUGAGAUACGGCCCAGACUCCUACGGGAGGCAGCAGUGAGGAAUAUUGCGCAAUGGACGAAAGUCUGACGCAGCAACGCCGCGUGAGGGAUGAAGCUUUUCGGAGUGUAAACCUCUGUUAGGAGGGAAGAACGUCUAUUAUUCGAACAGGGUGAUAGAGUGACGGUACCUCCAGAGAAAGCCCCGGCUAACUCCGUGCCAGCAGCCGCGGUAAUACGGGGGGGGCGAACGUUGUCCGGAAUUAUUGGGCGUAAAGGGCGCGUAGGCGGGAAGGUCAGUCAGAGGUGAAAGCUUGUGGCUUAACUGCAAGUUUGCCUUUGAUACUGCC
This 655-nucleotide ribosomal RNA is filed under the name uncultured bacterium. RNAcentral's name for it is "bacterial SSU rRNA". It matches the Rfam family "Bacterial small subunit ribosomal RNA", at positions 8 to 637 of the family's 1533-position model. The record is from RNAcentral.